RNAcentral lists this ribosomal RNA (426 nucleotides) under uncultured prokaryote. Its description in RNAcentral is "bacterial SSU rRNA". It matches the Rfam family "Bacterial small subunit ribosomal RNA", at positions 355 to 796 of the family's 1533-position model. The record is from RNAcentral.
UGGGGAAUUUUCCGCAAUGGGCGCAAGCCUGACGGAGCAAUACCGCGUGAGGGAGGAAGGCUUUUGGGUUGUAAACCUCUUUUCUCAAGGAAGCAGUCCUGACGGUACUUGAGGAAUCAGCAUCGGCUAACUCCGUGCCAGCAGCCGCGGUAAUACGGAGGAUGCAAGCGUUAUUCGGAAUUAUUGGGCGUAAAGCGUCCGCAGGUCGUGCCUCAAGUCUGCUGUCAAAGACCGAAGCUCAACUUCGGGCAGGGAGUGGAAACUGAAGCACUAGAGUACGGUAGGGGUAGAGGGAAUUUCCAGUGUAGCGGUGACAUGCGUAGAGAUUGGGAAGAACACCGGUGGCGAAGGCGGUCACCUGGCCCGCAACUGACGCUGAGGCGCGAAAGCGUGGGGAGCAAACAGGAUUAGAUACCCGCGUAGUCC